GAAAUGACUCAACCUGUUUCCAACACUUGCUGAAACCCAACUUAUCUACGGCCAGUUCUGCUCACUUCCGUCGUAAUCUGUCUGCAAACAUGUCGCCUGGAGCUCUGUGUUUCCUUCUCACAGUAGCAGCUCUUCUCAUGGGACUUUGUCGUGGAGAUUCUGUCUCACAAACAGCGGCUGCAAUUUCAGUGAAUGAGGGUGAUGAUGUCCUGUUGUUCUGUAAUUACACUACAACAAGCAGCAACCCUUACCUGUUCUGGUACCGUCAACAUUCCAGCGGCUCCACACAUUUUCUACUGCAGAAAAACCGAUAUAGUGAGAAUCGAGCGAGCUUACUGAAUGACCGGCUUUCCUCGGAUUUUGAUCAUGUGAACCGCACUAUCCAGCUGAGAGUGUUGAGAACAGAACUAUCAGACUCCGCAGUGUAUUUCUGCGCACUGAACCCCACAGUCACUCAGAACUGAGCUGACCCUGUACAAAAACUCUGAGGGCGCCACUGAUCACGAUACUACAUCAGGCAAACAGUGAGAUAGGAAUGGAUCUGAAGUAGUUCCCGAAUUCACUGUGAUGUUUCACACUUCUAAUUCGGACACAAAACUUUCAUCCUUAGAAAUCUAUCGUUGAAAUAAUCUCGUGCCGUCAGUUUCGUGACUACGAAACAAAUGAUUGAGUUUGUGUCUUUCAUGAUGUUCCAAAUUACAGCAAUGAGGUCCCAUCGAAAAUUCAGAAAUUGGUUUUGAUCAAGCAAAAUCCUCCAGUAAUAGACGGAACUGGGUUUGAGAGACAGCGACGUGAAGCAGGAUGCGAGAAAUAAAA
Molecule: non-coding RNA, 816 nt
Organism: Stegostoma tigrinum
Lineage: Eukaryota; Metazoa; Chordata; Chondrichthyes; Orectolobiformes; Stegostomatidae
Source: the annotation of a RefSeq genome assembly